AACGAACGCUGGCGGCAUGCCUAACACAUGCAAGUCGAACGAGACCUUCGGGUCUAGUGGCGCACGGGUGCGUAACGCGUGGGAACCUGCCCUUAGGUUCGGAAUACCUCCCCGACAGGGGUGCUAAUACCGGAUAAUGUCUUCGGACCAAAGAUUUAUCGCCUUUGGAUGGGCCCGCGUUGGAUUAGCUAGUUGGUAGGGUAAAAGCCUACCAAGGCGACGAUCCAUAGCUGGUCUGAGAGGAUGAUCAGCCACACUGGGACUGAGACACGGCCCAGACUCCUACGGGAGGCAGCAGUGGGGAAUAGUGGACAAUGGGCGAAAGCCUGAUCCACCAAUGCCGCGUGAGUGAUGAAGGCCUUAGGGUUGUAAAGCUCUUUUACCCGGGAUGAUAAUGACAGUACCGGGAGAAUAAGCUCCGGCUAACUCCGUG
RNAcentral lists this ribosomal RNA (433 nucleotides) under uncultured bacterium. RNAcentral describes it as "partial 16S ribosomal RNA". It matches the Rfam family "Bacterial small subunit ribosomal RNA", at positions 29 to 507 of the family's 1533-position model. The record is from RNAcentral.